This is an RNA transcript of Phragmites australis (common reed), 2994 nucleotides long. It is a transcript of the gene named pentatricopeptide repeat-containing protein At3g61520, mitochondrial-like, with no coding region annotated. The transcript has 3 exons. Lineage: Eukaryota; Viridiplantae; Streptophyta; Magnoliopsida; Poales; Poaceae. The record is from RefSeq and is a predicted model, not a curated record.
GGCCUAGCACAUCCCACAAAAUUCAGAAGCCCAAUUUCGCGUUAGCCCCGCCGCGCUCGCCGGUGGCCGUCGCCGUGCACAGUGCAGACUACAGAGAGUCAGAGGCCCUUCCCUUCUCCAUGUCCUGUUGAGUCGCUGGUCACCGCCACCGCGUCCUCCCUCCACCGCCGCCGCCGCUUUCUCGCCAUGUCCUCAGCCCUGCGUCUCGCGCCCGCCGUCCACAAACUCCGACCUCACUGCCGCUUCUCCUCCUCCUUCGCUGCCGCCUCCCCAUCCACCCCCACCUCCAGCCCGACCGCGGCCUCCCUCCUCGCCUCCCUCCUCUCCACCAACCCCCCCUCCGUCUCCACCCUCUCCCUCCUCCGCUCCACGCCCGGCCUCGCCGCCGACCUCUACUCCCUACUCGCCGCGCCAUCCCACGGCCUCACGCCCGCCUCCCUCGCGCUCCUCCACUCCCUCCCGGCCGACCACCGUCUCCCGCCUCCCUCCGCGCUGCUCCUCUCCAGGCUCCUCGCACGCUUCCCCUCCCCGGCCGAUGCCUCCCGCUUCCUCCGCGCCUCCCUCGCCGCGGGCGCGCCGGCGCCGGAUGUCUCCGCCUUCAACUCCCUUCUCGCCGCGCUCUGCCGCUCCCGCGACCUUUUCGGCAUGAACAAGCUAUUCGCCUCCAUGCGGGGUGCUUCCGUUCGGCCCGACGUUGUGACGCACGGGAUACUCAUCAACGGUCUCUGCAAGGCCGGCCGCGUCGGGGACGCACUUAGGGUGCUCGACGGAAUGUCUGCUCCGAGCUCCGACGUCCGUCCGGACACGAUCAUUUUAAAUACUGUAUUGGACGGGCUUUGCAAGUGCGGGAGGCUCCAGGAAGCUGUUGUGUUCGUGGAGGAGCGGAUGAAGCGCGUGCACGGGUGCGCACCCAACACGGUUACGUAUAACUGCUUGGCCGAUGCGUUUUGCCAGGUUGGGGAUGUUGCCAUGGCUUGCGAGGUGGUCGGGAGAAUGGAGAGGGAGGGUGUGGUGCCGAACGUUAUCACGAUAAACACGAUUGUUGGUGGCUUCUGCCGGAUUGGGAGGAUUGGAGCCGCGUUGGAGUUCUUCCGGGAGAAAAGGACAGCUUGGCAGGACGCCAGGGGCAAUGCUGUGACCUAUAGCACUUUGGUUGGGGCUUUCCUCCACUGCAACAACGUGGGCAUGGCCAUGGAGUUGUUCCAUGAGAUGGUGGACCAAGGGCAUUCGCCAGAUGCAAUCAUGUAUUUCACCAUGAUAUCGGGAUUGACACAAGCAGGGCGGUUGGAGGAUGCUUGCACCGUGGCGUCUUCGAUGAAGAAGGCAGGGUUUAAGCUGGACACAAAGGCGUACAACAUCUUGAUUGGUGGAUUUUGCAAGAAGAAAAGGUUGCGUGAGGCUUAUGAGUUGCUCGGGGAGAUGAAGGGAGCUGGUCUUCAGCCAGAUGUUUGCACCUACAAUACCUUGUUGUCUGGUUUGUGCAAAGCAGGAGAUUUCUCGGCUGUGGAUGAAUUAUUGGGGAAAAUGAUUGAUGAAGGCUGUCGGCCUUCUGUGGUUACUUUCGGUACACUUGUACAUGGAUAUUGCAAAGUUGGUAAAAUUGAUGAGGCUUUUAGGAUUUUCAGGUCUAUGGAUGAGUCCGGGAUUCAGCCCAGCACUGUGAUAUACAAUACCCUCAUUGACUUCCUCUGCAAGAGGAGAGAUGCCGAUUCAGCUAUCAAGCUGUUUAAUGAGAUGAGUGAAAAGCAUGUGCCUGCAAAUGUAACAACCUACAACGCAUUAUUGAAGGGUCUUCGAGAUGAGAACAUGCCGGAAAAGGCCUUUGAACUUAUGGACCGAAUGAAGGAAGAGAGUAUCAAUCUUUAAUGAACAUAUUGGAGAGAGGGGCAUAAAGGAGGUAGUAACAAUGGCUCCAAGAUUGCAGUCCGAGAGAUGCAAUGCCUAUGGGCCAUCAUUGCAAGGUUGUAACAUGCUUUAAACUCAUAGCAUCAAAAAGGAAAAACUCCAGCGCCACCCUAACAUUCAAACUGGAUCAGAGAUUAAAUGUAAUUGAACCCCUAGCGAGGCUGACAGUGGCUGCCUUCAACUGAGAAAAACGUGUGCCACUGCCUUCUACUUAGGACAGCGGGACACGUUUUUUUAGCACUGCCUUCAACUGAGAUGUACCAGUACUAAGAUAAAAGGUUGCUCCUGCCAAUUGUUUGUUCUGCUACUGGAAAGUCUUGAGCUAGACUCCUGCAUCAAGCAUAAAAGUCAGCAAAAACCAAGUUGGCAUGCAAGGACCACGUCAUGUUUCUUGCAACUUCGGUGAUUUGCUGCUUGUUUCAUGCCUCUUGUAAUGUUUGGUAAUUCUGAUCAAAGCUGAUUGCAUCACAGCGUCAAUUUCGCAGACCUUUUCAUCUGCGUAGCUUAGCUCAUCAAUUUACUUUUGCGAUACUGUGUUUAAGCCGGUGAUGAGGAUGUGCUAACUAACCUGUCGUGCAAGUCUAUCGGGUAUUUUCUCGGAAUACAGUGCUUCAGACCAGGGUGUUAGAAUUUUCACCCUGAGGAAGGAACAGCUGUUGCUGCCUGCUUCCCUGCAACCAACGACUCCACGUCUCCAUUACCGAGCCGAGCUGCUCACCCUGCCACCCGCUAGGGAGAAAUUCAUGGCGCAUCACUUAGGCAGGACAGAGAGUUGCACAGGUCAGAUUCUUCCAUCUCUUGCUUCAGCUUUGAAAUGGUUGUAGGUUUGUGUUGCCAACAUCGAUGGCGCUCUGGCAGCUGGCUCGUUUGCAGUAAGCCAGUAACUAAUCAAAUCUCGUGCACCGGCAUGCAUGGGGAAAGAACUAGAUGUUUGAUUUACCAACUACAAGUACAUGUAAUUCUGGGAACCUUGGCUCGUGACAUUGUGAGAUGCUCAGAUACCGUGCUGCCCUGAAACUCUGGGAACCUUGGCUUAACAAUACGAGUUUAUCUCAAACAAGCUAUCCAGUACGCAGCUUAUUGCACGUA